This 381-nucleotide ribosomal RNA is filed under the name uncultured bacterium. RNAcentral describes it as "bacterial SSU rRNA". It matches the Rfam family "Archaeal small subunit ribosomal RNA", at positions 473 to 853 of the family's 1478-position model. RNAcentral also lists the same sequence under 1 other name. The record is from RNAcentral.
AUACCGGCAGCUCGAGUGAUGGCCAAUAUUAUUGGGCCUAAAGCGUCCGUAGCUGGCCGAACAGGUCCGUCGGGAAAUCCGCUCGCUCAACGAGCGGACGUCCGGCGGAAACCAGUCGGCUUGGGACCGGAAGACCCGAGGGGUACGGCCGGGGUAGGAGUGAAAUCCUGUAAUCCUGGCCGGACCACCGGUGGCGAAAGCGCCUCGGGAAGACGGAUCCGACAGUGAGGGACGAAAGCUAGGGUCACGAACCGGAUUAGAUACCCGGGUAGUCCUAGCUGUAAACGAUGCUCGCUAGGUGUGGCACUGGCUACGAGCCAGUGCUGUGCCGUAGGGAAGCCGAGAAGCGAGCCGCCUGGGAAGUACGUCCGCAAGGAUGAA